CACCGGGAUGUUCAUAACCCUUUGUUGUCCGACUCUGUUGCCUCCGGGGCGACCCUGCCUUCGGGCGGGGGCUCCGGGUGGACACUUCAAACUCUUGCGUAACUUUGCAGUCUGAGUAAACUUAAUUAAUAAAUUAAAACUUUUAACAACGGAUCUCUUGGUUCUGGCAUCGAUGAAGAACGCAGCGAAAUGCGAUAAGUAAUGUGAAUUGCAGAAUUCAGUGAAUCAUCGAAUCUUUGAACGCACAUUGCGCCCCCUGGUAUUCCGGGGGGCAUGCCUGUUCGAGCGUCAUUUCACCACUCAAGCCUCGCUUGGUAUUGGGCAACGCGGUCCGCCGCGUGCCUCAAAUCGACCGGCUGGGUCUUCUGUCCCCUAAGCGUUGUGGAAACUAUUCGCUAAAGGGUGCUCGGGAGGCUACGCCGUAAAACAAACCCAUUUCUAAGGUUGACCUCGGAUCAGGUAGGGAUACCCG
Molecule: ribosomal RNA, 472 nt
Filed under: Cladosporium cladosporioides
Lineage: Eukaryota; Fungi; Ascomycota; Dothideomycetes; Cladosporiales; Cladosporiaceae
Description: eukaryotic LSU rRNA
Rfam family: 5.8S ribosomal RNA (bases 138-291)
Source: RNAcentral